UAAUGUCCACAUUUUGCUCCAGAUCAUCCCCUCCUCCCAGCGGGAAGGAAAUGGCUUCAAUGGAGCUGGCUCAGGGGUUGGUGACUUUCGAGGAGGUGGCUGUGUAUUUCACCAAGGGGGAAUGGGCUCUGCUGGACCCUACUCAGAGAGCCCUCUACAGGGAUGUCAUGCAGGAGAACUAUGAAACGGUGGUCUUGUUGGCACAGGAGAGCAUAGGUGACCACAGAGAGCUCAUCAGCACAGAUAACCAUGCAGGCCGAUAAUCGAAAAAGAGCACCAGCAUGGACCGUACGGGAGGUACUGGAUC
Emys orbicularis (European pond turtle) is the source of this 307-nucleotide long non-coding RNA. RefSeq lists it as uncharacterized. The transcript is spliced from 3 exons. Lineage: Eukaryota; Metazoa; Chordata; Testudines; Emydidae. The record is from RefSeq and is a predicted model, not a curated record.